AUUAGUAGUUUGAUCAUGGCUCAGAGUGAACGCUGGCGGUUANGCCUAACACAUGCAAGUCGAACGGCAGCACAGGAGAGCUUGCUCUCUGUGGUGUGCGAGUGGCGGACGGUGUGAGAGAAUACAUCGGAAUCUAUUCUGUCGUGGGGGAUAACGUAGUGGUAAACUUUACGGCUUAAUUACCUGGCUAUUACGUACCGUACGGGGUGUAANAUGCAUGGUGAAUCUUCGGAACCUAUGGCGACUGAAGUUGAAAUGAGGCCCGAUAUGUCCGGAUUUAGGCUAAGUAUGUGCGGGAGGNUAAAAGUGCCUCACCCGAA
This 320-nucleotide ribosomal RNA is filed under the name uncultured bacterium. RNAcentral's name for it is "partial 16S ribosomal RNA". The record is from RNAcentral.